This 2201-nucleotide unclassified non-coding RNA is filed under the name Octopus sinensis (East Asian common octopus). RNAcentral's name for it is "probable arginine--tRNA ligase, mitochondrial, transcript variant X1". The record is from RNAcentral. Lineage: Eukaryota; Metazoa; Mollusca; Cephalopoda; Octopoda; Octopodidae.
AUCUGAAGGUUAUGGAAUUGUGAGUUAUCUCCCUUACACUCCAGCCGGUGAGUUAAUUAAAUCGCCGCCGUGACAUGUGCUUCUUCUUCAAACAACAUCACUUAAUUAGAGGUUUACGUUGAGCAUGGCUGGACACUUCCGACGUAAAAUCGCAUCUAAAUUGUUCCAGUCUUUUAGUCAGUCAGGCUUGCUGCCGAAAUCACAAGAAACCAAUUCUAUAGAGAAAUUAGCUUCGUUGGUCAAAGUGAAGAAAAUAUCAAAACAUCAUACUCUUGAAUCUGGUCAGUUCUUGGUUAAUUCUCAACACCUGAAUAACUUUCUGAAGGACGAUUCUGAUCCCAACCAUAAAUUGGCUGAGCAAGUAAAAGACUGCUUAUUUCAGGAUACGUCUUUUAAAGAACUCGGAAUCACCUUCAAUGGUAAAUUCUUCAAUUUCACAUUUGAUCCAACCAAUAUUACAGAGGUGAUAUUGUCCAGUGUAUAUAAGGAGGGUAGUAAGUAUGGCUUUACCAGUCAUCUUCAUCAGACAAACGACCAAACAGAGAAGCAGACAGUCGUGAUAGAAUACAGCUCUCCAAAUAUUGCCAAACCGUUCCAUGUGGGUCACCUGAGAUCAACAAUUAUUGGAAAUUUCUUCAGCAAUCUCUAUGAACAACUUGGAUACAAUGUGAUACGUUUGAACUACCUUGGUGACUGGGGUACCCAGUUUGGUCUCCUGGCUGCUGGCUACCAUCAAUAUGGCUGUGAAACGAAACUCCUUGCUGACCCACUCCAUCAUUUGUUUGAGGUGUAUGUGAAAGUAAACAAAGAUGCUGCCCAAGAAAUUGAUACAAAACGUGUUGAAGAACCCCAGAGUCUGUAUAAUCGAAGUCGGGAAAUCUUCCAAAAAAUGGAGAAAGGAGAAGAAACAAGCCUGGAUCUUUGGAAACGAUUUCGAGACUUAAGCAUCAAAGAAUAUCAGAAAAUAUACAAGAGACUCGGUAUCUCCUUCACUGAGAUUCACUCUGAAUCGAUGUAUUCUGAAUCAGCCAAUCAGCUACUGCAACACCUGCGACACACUGGUUUGUUACAGAUCAAUGAGGAAGAAGGAAGAACCGAGUUCAUUGAGAUUCCUGACCGAAACCGAAAUUCCAAAGUUACAAUGUGCAAAAGUGAUGGAACUACUCUCUACCUGACACGUGAUGUUGCUGCUGCUCUCCACAGGAAGAAGGAAUAUAAUUUUAACAAAAUACACUAUGUGGUUGACAACCGACAGAACCGACAUUUCCAAAACCUUCAAGCUGUUUUAAAGACAAUUGGAGAAGAUUGGGCUACCAGUCUUGAAAGUGAUUUUCAUAUUGGAUUUGGCCGAAUUAUAGGGAUGAAUACAAGAAAGGGUAAAGUUAUUUUCCUGAAAGACCUUCUUGAUGAAGCUCAGCAACAAAUGUUGUCAAAACGAAAGGAAACUUCCUCAUCAAAACAUGUAGCUGAUGAAAUGGCUGUAGCAGACACACUUGGCAUCAGUUCAAUUUUGGUACAGGACCUGAAAGAAAGAAGGAACUUUGAUUAUACAUUCAGCUGGAAGAAAUGUCUCAACUUCAAAGCCGAUUCCGGAGUUUUCUUACAAUAUGCUCAUGCAAGACUUUGUAGCUUGAAGCAAAACUGUGCCAUACCUUUGACCCAUUCUGUUGAUGCAGCCCUACUAAAGGACCCUGCUGCCUUGCGACUUGUUCUCCACAUUUCAAGAUAUGAUGAAGUCAUAUUAAACUCAUUUCUUUCCUUCGAGCCAUUCCAUGUCGUACAAUACCUCUUCCAGUUGGCUCAUCUAAGUAAUCAAUCUCUUCAUUCGUUAGUCGUCAAAGGUCAAGUACAAGAUGUUGCCCAGGCACGUCUUCUGCUGUUUCAUUCAGCCCAACAGAUUCUUUCAAGUGGGCUCAGACUGAUUGGUGUCCAACCUCUGCAGUCCAUGUAAGCAACAUUACCAUUGCCAUCUUCAGCUGCUUGAGUGAUGAGAAAAAUCUGAGACUUUUGGAAAUGUUCAUACUCACAAGCAAAACCAUUAUGAAGAUAUGUCUAUGUUUUGAUAUUUGUGGGAGGUUUGCCCAUUCAGUGAAGCUGAGUUUAUUUAAACCAGUAGACCACACAGGGCAAUAAAAAAAAAUGCAAAUCAACAAAGGGAGCCUCUUAAAAAUCUCUUUAUAUCUACAAGGGUGUGCUGAAAA